RNAcentral lists this ribosomal RNA (497 nucleotides) under uncultured bacterium. RNAcentral describes it as "partial 16S ribosomal RNA". It matches the Rfam family "Bacterial small subunit ribosomal RNA", at positions 28 to 507 of the family's 1533-position model. The record is from RNAcentral.
GAUGAACGCUGGCGGCGUGCCUAAUACAUGCGAGUCGAGCGAACAGACGAGGAGCUUGCUCCUCUGACAUUAGCGGCGGACGGGUGAGUAACACGUGGAUAACCUACCUAUAAGACUGGGAUAACUUCGGGAAACCGGAGCUAAUACCGGAUAAUAUAUUGAACCGCAUGGUUCAAUAGUGAAAGACGGUUUUGCUGUCACUUAUAGAUGGAUCCGCGCCGCAUUAGCUAGUUGGUAAGGUAACGGCUUACCAAGGCAACGAUGCGUAGCCGACCUGAGAGGGUGAUCGGCCACACUGGAACUGAGACACGGUCCAGACUCCUACGGGAGGCAGCAGUAGGGAAUCUUCCGCAAUGGGCGAAAGCCUGACGGAGCAACGCCGCGUGAGUGAUGAAGGUCUUCGGAUCGUAAAACUCUGUUAUUAGGGAAGAACAAAUGUGUAAGUAACUAUGCACGUCUUGACGGUACCUAAUCAGAAAGCCACGGCUAACUACGUG